This 630-nucleotide ribosomal RNA is filed under the name uncultured Russulaceae. RNAcentral describes it as "LSU rRNA". It matches the Rfam family "Eukaryotic large subunit ribosomal RNA", at positions 47 to 649 of the family's 3401-position model. Lineage: Eukaryota; Fungi; Basidiomycota; Agaricomycetes; Russulales; Russulaceae. The record is from RNAcentral.
UAAGCGGAGGAAAAGAAACUAACNAGGAUUCCCCUAGUAACUGCGAGUGAAGCGGGAAAAGCUCAAAUUUGGAAUCUGGUGGUCUUUGGCCAUCCGAGUUGUAAUUUAGAGAAGCGUCUUCCGCGCUGGACCGUGCACAAGUCUCCUGGAAUGGAGCGUCAUAGAGGGUGAGAAUCCCGUCUUUGGCAUGGAAUCCCAGGGCUUCUGUGAUGCGCUCUCGACGAGUCGAGUUGUUUGGGAAUGCAGCUCAAAAUGGGUGGUGAACUCCAUCUAAAGCUAAAUAUUGGCGAGAGACCGAUAGCGAACAAGUACCGUGAGGGAAAGAUGAAAAGCACUUUGGAAAGAGAGUGAAACAGUACGUGAAAUUGUUGAAAGGGAAACGCUUGAAGUCAGUCGCGUCGACCGAGACUCAGCCUUGCCUCGGCUUGGUGUACUUCUCGGCUUGACGGGUCAGCAUCGAUUUCAAUCCUCGGAUAAUGGCAAGGGAAAGGUAGCACCUUUUUAGGUGUGUUAUAGUCCUCUGUCGCAUGCGAGGGUCGGGAUCGAGGAACUCAGCACGCACCUCAGGGUGUCGGGGCCUUGGCCCACGUUUACGUGCUUAGGAUGCUGGCGUAAUGGCUUUAAACGACC